CCCUACCCGGUUUCAGGGUUUCCACCGUUCAUUAAUCGGUUUGUCCUAAAAUACAAAAUGUAGCCUUUGAGCUUUUGGGGUGCUCAUUUCCUCUUUCCUUUAAUCCUAAUCUCGUGUAUAGAAAUUCUAAACAAUCUAAGGCAAUUGAGACAUAUACCUGUAAGUAUAAUUUUCAUCGCUUCAAUUUAUUCAUCUUCUAUAUAUUUCUUACGGAUUCUUUAAUUAUAUUUCUUGAUUCGAGAUUUUUUUUUUUCAUUUUUUCGAUCUUUUUAGAAAUUGAACCCAAAAUACCUAAAGCUUGUUCCUUUGAUGUUCUUGUUGUGUAUCCUUUAUUGAAUUUCUUCUAGUUGUGUAUAUAUUUUCUGGUUUAUUGAAUUUCUUCUUAUUGUGUUAAAUAUGGAAUUAUUGUUAUUAUUAUUAUUUUUUUCUGUUCGAUCUUUUGGGAUAUCAAACCCCAAAUACCUAUUAUGCAACGAGAGUGGAGAAGAUUGAGCCUAACCCAAGUAAAGGCCUGAUUGAUAUACAGGUACACCAUUUUUUUUUUUUUUUUUGGCUCUUGAGGAUCACGUUCGAAUAGUUGAAUCCGACCAUUCUUCAUCUUCAGUAACUUGUUAUUUGAGUUGUAAUCCGUGUAAAAACUUCUUUUAAAUUGUAAUAAAUGUAAAUGAUGCUUCAAAUUGAUCAUAAUUUGUAGUGAACUUGCUGUCUAUCUGGUUAUAAGAAUGUCAUUUCUUGAUGUUUUCAUGUAGCAGAACAUACUAGAUUAGAUGGGAAAAAUGGUGAGUACCCUGUUUGUAUGGUGCUUUAACUUUAUUUUCAAGAUCCUUGCUGUGGUUGAAACUCAAGAUGGUUAGAAUAUUAUGUUAUGUUAUAAAUAAAUCUAUUUGGUUGCAAGUUAUACAGAAUUUGUUUCAGCCCCCUCUUGAUGAGAGUUACAAACUAUACAAUUUCCUUUUUAGUUGACAUUAGACCACGGACACCGUUGAGUGUUUCGAUUUAGUGAAUAAAUUAGAGCUGAGUUGGAACAUGGAAAUUGGUGUCAACCUUUAAUUAUAGUUGUACAAUAAGUAAUGAGCAAUAGGAAGUGUACAUUCUCUGUUAAAUCGUCACAAGACCUCGUGGGAACAUGUCUCACUUCAUAAUGUGGGCACUGCAAACAAAAUUUAUCUUCAGAAAGUUGGACAUGUGAGAUCCACAUAAAAGAUUUAGUGGAGAUUUAGAUUGUCGUCGUAAACUGAAUUUACAACUAAAAUGAGAGGCUGAUGACCAACUUUCUACACAGGCAAUAGUUUGGAGACCAAUAGGGCUACAUUCCCUCUGAAUGAAUUUGUAUUGACGAUUUUUGUUUCAUCAAUCUUGUCAUGAUCAUGAAAAUCGAUUUGCUUUCAUAUACCUUGCAGACCGAUAAUGACAAAAUCGAAUCCAGUGAAGCCAACUCCCGAAACACCCUCGCCAGCAUCCUCUCAUGGAGGUGAUUCCCCAGCUCUUUGAAAGAGAAACGAGCAAUCUGGUAGUUUUUUACCCUUCAAAGGCUAAUUACACAUAACAAUGUGCAUUAUGCAAAAAAAUGGAUUUUCUACUUGCCAUGAAUGUUUGGGCUUCUGGAACUUUUGUGAUUUAACCAAUUCAUCUUCAUGUCUGUUUUGGAAUGCCUUUUCACUUCAUAAUGACGUCGUACAAGUUAUGCUAUUCUUUUCUUGACGCUAUUACCUUAUAGAAGGGACUGAAAACUAUCUCAUCCUUUUAGAGACAGCAUGAUUUUUUGAAAGCAAGAACUCUUUUGUUUUAAAUAAAAUGAAGUUAUGCUAUAAGUGACAAAAUAUAGUUCAAAUAACUGCUUUCUUCCUAGAAAUGGGACACAUUAUUCGAGGAAUAUGUUGUUAUUGAUGAAAGGAAAAUUUGAGAUCAUACUGUUCUCUUAUGUAUGAUUAUUGAAAUGUAUUUGUGUAUAAGUCUCAUUUUGGAACAAGAAAUCUAUGCUUUAAAACUCCCACCGGAGAACAGGUGCAAUUUUAAAAUGUUGGGAUCCCAUUUAUUAACUCGGUUGAGAACAGAAAAGAAGAUUCAAUAUUUGAGAUCUUUUCCUAUAGUCUAUUUGAAUGUUUGUUUGCUUUUUUUAAUUUCUCUUUCAUUUUCUUAGAUUGUUCAGUCUAUUUCAAUCCUACUGGAGUCGCUGGUUUGGUUUCUUCAGAUUGCGUUCGACCACUAUGUUUGGCUUAUAGAUUUACAGGUCAUUUGCAUCUCUGUUCUUUGUACGAGCUUUUUUUUGUGAAUUUAAAAAGCAUUUGGAACUCCUUUAUUACUUUGAGUGGGAGAGGGUUUCUUGGGUGCUUACAAUUGUUCAACGUUGAACUUCUGACAUGAAAAGAUAUCGUUUAAGCUGUGCUAUUUCUCUAUGCUGGAAGCUGGUUUUUAUUGCAUUUUGGCUAGCCAUCGAAGCAAAAGAAAAAUUUCUUUGACAUCGUAGGCCGGAGAAUAUAUUUGACUAAUGGAAGUUAACAAUAAUCAAAGAAGGUUGCAUGCAUGUCAAUGAUGUCAUAGCAUUUGAAGUGGUGUAUUCAGUUGGUUGUCAGGCCAACAGUGAAUAGAUGAUAGUUGCUUGUCCUCUGCUAUUGUUAUUUGGGUAUUUUUCUGAAGUUAGCUAGCAUUUUUUGAAGAUUUUUGUAUGUCAGUUGACACAUUUUUGAAUCAUCUUCGUAUCUGAAGUUGUAAUACCUCGGGUGAUUCUCCGAGAGUUUGUUGGAUGAUUUAUAGAUCAUGACUAUCUUAUCUACUCUUGUUGGCUGGGCAAUUCCAGAUCUGGUAAGAGUGAUUUACAAAUUCAUAUUUUCCAAGGGACCUGAUGCUGUAAACUCUGAUGCUCGGACUCUUGGAAAUAGUCGGAGUACCCGUGUCGAACACGACACGACAUGGGUAUGGGUAUGAGAUAUGGGUCAGAUCCUCCAAAUUUCAACCGGACGCUUCGUCGUUUUCACUUCUUCUUUCUUUUUCCUUUUUUUCUCUUUUCGUUUACUUUCCCUUUUCUUCUUUCCUGUUUUCGCUCUCUAGAAACUUAACGUCGCCGUCGAGAGGGUGGAGAAUGACGGCAGCUCUAGGUUUUCCUUCUUUUUCUUCUUCUUUCUUUUUUCUUUCAUUUCUUCUUUUUUCCUUCUCUCUUUAUAACGGUGGUUUAGGGUUUCGUUUGUAUAAAAUUAAAAUGGGUUCCAUAUAAUGCUACUUAGUGCUCCACUAAGUCCAAAUUGUAAUUAAAUCUCUAAUUUUCUAUUUAUAUUACAUUUAGUAAUUCCCAUGAUUAAAAACUAAACCUCAAAAUUCUAUUUUAUUUAUCAUAAUCUCUUAUUCAAUACCCAUUUCUUUCUUUGUUAAUAAUUUAUUUUGGUCUAUUCAAAAUGACAUUUUGGAUUAGUAAAAAAAUUGAAGUUUAAAAGACAUCUACGUACCCGUGUUCGAAAUUUGGACUCUUUUUAGCCAUAUUCCCGUAUUCUACAUUUUAACAAAUAAAAUAUCUGACACUUAGAUACAUACCCGUAUCCGAGUCCGAGCAUUAUAGGCUGUAAAGAUAUUAGAUACAUUUGCUCAAUUUAAUCCAGAUGUUAUACCACCUGAUAUUUGACAAACUUUAACUGUUUAAAUAUUUUUUUCUUGUAAGGUGCAAUAAAAGAGCUCUUGAUAAUAGUAUUAAAAAUGAUUUCCCUCCGUCCCCUCUUCCGUCACUUUAAGCCAUGUAUUUGCUUUUCAGUGGCCCAUUGAAUCCAUUUAUUAAAUUGUUAAUUCUUGUAUUUCCAGUUCAUCCUAUGCUUCCAUUACACCAGUAGUUCUCAAGUCAUUAUAAAUGCUGAUGCUAUUUGAAUGUUCAGCCAAGCUUUUUUGUCCUGCGCGUUUACAUCGUCAAAUGUGGUUGCUUUUUAGGAUUGGACAAAGAUCAACAGGAUACUGAGAGAAAUAUAUAUUUAUAUCUAUAUUUCUUUCGGACACAAAAUCUCCAUUCUUCUUUGCAUGAUAGUUAUUAUCAGUUGUCAUAGUUUUAUGAUUUGCUCACUGGUGUACGGCAAUUUUAAAUUAUAUAGCUCUCCUGUAAGUGGACUCGUCUUGGUAUUCGUCAAAUAUCUAUUCUUUUUUAAAUGUGUUCUUGAUAGAGAGAACUAAUGCAGGGAAGGAGAAACCUUCUAUAAAUUGGGAGACUCGGAUGCAAAUUACUCUAGGUUCUGCAAAUGGAUUGACAUAUCUGCAUGACACGAGUGGGUUUUUCCACGCACAGUUCUCUUUACCAUAUUUUUCUUUGAUUAAUUGAGUAGGGUUGUAAUCACUUAAAUUUUGAAGUAUAUCAAUACUUGCAGGUCAACGAUUAUACACUGUUAUAUGAAAUUUGCUAACAUUCUUCUUGACCACAAAUUUGAAGCCAAGGUAUGAGUAUAUGUAUUAUAUUUCUUCGAAAAUAAAGAAGUUACCUCUUAAAUUUAUUCUUUUUGCGAUUUACAUGUCCUAUAAUACUAUACUAUAAAACAUUGCACUCUGCCAAAGGAUUUUUUUUCAUUAGUACAAGAAUUGUGUAAUAUUUCCUAAUGAGAAGCACUCUUAGUUAAGCACAUACCUUAUUCCCAAUCUAUUGAGUUCGACUCAUAAAUCCUUUUACCCCACUACGGUUUCCGUCUUUCAUCAAAAGAUCCAAUAAAUCAAACUAUUUGCAAACACAUUAGCUCUUAUAAAUUCCUCUUCCUCUUCCUAUUCCUCCUCCUGUUUGUAUCAUAUCAUUAUUAUUUAAAUGAAAGACAUUGUUUAGAUGAAUGCAUUUAAUAUCUGCCUGACACGUUAUCACUUAUUUUGGGUGUCAUUCUGGUUAUAUGGUAUUAGUCAAUCCAUAAAAUCUCUUAUGCCAAACCUCUAUUCAAGGCAGGAAAGACAAAUUGCUCCACUUUCCUUCGGCUUUAUAAGAAAAAAUAGUUAGGUUUUGUUUCUUUGCUUCAUUCUGAGAAGUAGAAUAUGAGAAACAACUCAAAUAAACACACAUUUUUCUAAUUAUAGACAAAAUAAGAUGUUUAGGAUUUUGAUACCUUCAUUGAAGUAUGUGCAGUGAAAAUGGCUGCAAAGAUUUUACAUUCUUUCACCAGAGAUAAUUCAGAAUUGCAAAAGCAAAUAGGAUAUAUGACAAGCAUCUUUCGAUUGUUCGAUCGGCAGUCUGUUCUUAUUGGGAGGCGCAUCUUUGGCCACAACUCAAAGGGGCUGUUGAUAGGCCCAGUUAAAUAUACUUAUUCUAGAAGGGUCAAGAAGAUUGGAAAAGGGCAGGGGCUGCAACAAACAACUAUGACAAUGUAGUUACUUGUAGUUUGGUGGUUUACUUUAAAACUGACUUUAGUGGAUGCUUCAUUUAUUUAAAGGAAUAAGAGUGGUGAAUUUGAGCUUUUCACUUAUUAUUUACUUCAGUACUUUCAUUUUGCAAAUUGAAGGGUUGUAUAUUGGAUGAAUGGUGAAUUUGAUACUGUAUAAAUCUAUUUUGCAGGCA
This 5500-nucleotide long non-coding RNA is filed under the name Olea europaea subsp. europaea. Lineage: Eukaryota; Viridiplantae; Streptophyta; Magnoliopsida; Lamiales; Oleaceae. The record is from RNAcentral.